Molecule: long non-coding RNA, 1157 nt
Filed under: Cricetulus griseus (Chinese hamster)
Lineage: Eukaryota; Metazoa; Chordata; Mammalia; Rodentia; Cricetidae
Description: lncRNA (ENSCGRG00015036847.1)
Source: RNAcentral
CUCAUAUUUAAGCAAGGAAGCAGGAAGUGGUUCCUUUCCCUUUUGCUCUUCUUCCUGCUCUCUGCUGUGAGCCAUCAUGUGAUCCUGGGGAUGAAGAAGCCAGCGGAAGGUGUCUGAUAAGGGUAUCUGUCCCGCGCGAUCGUCUCGCCAGCAAGAAUGACACAGGACACUCAGAUCCUUCUGCAGUAAAGCUUUAAUGCAUCUUGAGAGACAGAUGAUCAGCUUCCGAUUAGGGAGACCCCGAGCCAAGAAUCCCGUCCCCUUAUAAAGGCUCAUAAGCUCCGAGCAGUGCGUGUACAGCUGGGAUAGGUGGAGAACUCAUCACCCUAUAUGACGCCACUGGAGAGGCAAGAUGAGGCAAGUGGAAAAACACUGGGCACAUGCGCACCAACGUUGUUUACUUGAUCCAGCAGCGGAUGUCAGCGCCAUCUUGUAAUGGCGAAUGUGAGUGCGGCUCCUCACAGGACUUGACAUGGAUUACUUCUAUCCUCUCAUUCCACCUUGAGAAGCAGAAAUCAUCACCAGAAUGUACUGAACAAACUAAGCCACAUAUAUACUCAAGAGCUUGUCAAGUUCAGAGAGAAACCCCAGGAGAAAGGAAGGACAAGAUUCACUGAAAAUAGUAGGUAAACCUGUGGGACAAUUUCCUGAAUAGUGAUUGAUAUGGAGUUCCAAGCCACUAUGUGUGGAUGCCACCCUUGGGCGAGAGAUUCUGGGGUGUACAGGAAAGAAAAUGGAACAAACCAGAAGGAGCAAGUCAGUAAGCAGCACUCCUCCAUGGUCUCAGCUUCAGUUCCUUUCUUCAGCUUCCUGCCCUGCUUGAGUUCCUGUCUUGACUCAUCUCAUUAAGGUCUGGAAGGAAAAAUAAACUCGUUUCUUCAAAAGUUCCUUUUGUCGUGAUGCUCUAUCACAGUAAGAAAAAAUAAAUUAAGAUACUGACAAUAGGCAUACUAUUCUUGGAAAUCAGAUAUUUGACUAAGAUAAUAAAUUGGGGACUGGAGAGACGCUUGGCAGUUAAGAUUUCAUACUGUUCUCUCAGAAAAACACAUGGAUUGAUUACUAGUACCCACAGUGGCCAGAUCAAUCCAUCUCCAAGGGAUGAAAUGUCUCCAGCUUUGAAGGCAUGGAUGUUCAUGUGUGCAUACCCCCACACAGAC